RNAcentral lists this ribosomal RNA (494 nucleotides) under uncultured bacterium. RNAcentral describes it as "partial 16S ribosomal RNA". It matches the Rfam family "Bacterial small subunit ribosomal RNA", at positions 28 to 507 of the family's 1533-position model. The record is from RNAcentral.
GACGAACGCUGGCGGCGUGCUUAACACAUGCAAGUUGAACGGUGAAGCGCCUUCCUUUUUGGUGGGUGUGGAUGAGUGGCGAACGGGUGAGUAACACGUGAGUAACCUGCCCCCUUCUUCUGGAUAACCGCAUGAAAGUGUGGCUAAUACGGGAUAUUCUGGGUCUGUCGCAUGAUGGGUCUGGGAAAGAUAUUGUUUCGGUGGGGGAUGGGCUCGCGGCCUAUCAGCUUGUUGGUGGGGUGAUGGCCUACCAAGGCGGUGACGGGUAGCCGGCCUGAGAGGGUGGACGGUCACACUGGGACUGAGACACGGCCCAGACUCCUACGGGAGGCAGCAGUGGGGAAUAUUGCACAAUGGGCGCAAGGCUGAUGCAGCGACGCCGCGUGAGGGAUGGAGGCCUUCGGGUUGUGAACCUCUUUCGCCAGUGAAGCAGGCCUGCCUCGUUUGUGGGUGGGUUGACGGUAGCUGGAUAAGAAGCGCCGGCUAACUACGUG